RNAcentral lists this ribosomal RNA (253 nucleotides) under uncultured bacterium. RNAcentral describes it as "partial 16S ribosomal RNA". It matches the Rfam family "Bacterial small subunit ribosomal RNA", at positions 524 to 776 of the family's 1533-position model. The record is from RNAcentral.
UACGUAGGGGGCUAGCGUUGUCCGGAUUUAUUGGGCGUAAAGAGCGCGUAGGCGGCCGAGUAAGUCCGACGUGAAAUCUGGAGGCUCAACCUCCAGCGGUCGUUGGAAACUACUCGGCUAGAGUCCGGAAGAGGAGAGUGGAAUUCCUGGUGUAGCAGUGAAAUGCGCAGAUAUCAGGAAGAACACCGAUGGCGAAAGCAGCUCUCUGGGACGGUACUGACGCUGAGGCGCGAAAGCGUGGGGAGCGAACAGG